This 468-nucleotide ribosomal RNA is filed under the name uncultured bacterium. Its description in RNAcentral is "partial 16S ribosomal RNA". It matches the Rfam family "Bacterial small subunit ribosomal RNA", at positions 28 to 507 of the family's 1533-position model. The record is from RNAcentral.
GACGAACGCUGGCGGCGUGCUUAACACAUGCAAGUCGAACGGAAAGGCCCUGCGUUUGUGGGGUGCUCGAGUGGCGAACGGGUGAGUAACACGUGAGUAACCUGCCCUUGACUUUGGGAUAACUUCAGGAAACUGGGGCUACUACCGGAUAGGAGCUCCCCCUGCAUGGUGGGGGUUGGAAAUUUUCGGCGGUUGGGGAUGGACUCGCGGCUUAUCAGCUUGUUGGUGGGGUAGUGGCUUACCAAGGCUUUGACGGGUAGCCGGCCUGAGAGGGUGACCGGCGACAUUGGGACUGAGAUACGGCCCAGACUCAUACGGGGGGCAACAGUGGGGAAUAUGGCACAAUGGGCGGAAGCCUGUUGCAGCAGCGCCGCGUGCGGAAUGACGGCCUGCGGGUUGUGAACCGCUUUCGCCUGUGACGAAGCGUGAGUGACGGUAAUGGGUAAAGAAGCACCGGCUAACUACGUG